CAUACCUGCCAACUUUUCAAAAUGCCCAUGGGGGUUUUACAUGGAAGAUGGCUCUUACAGUCCUAUAAAACCAUCAAGGGGGCCUUCAAAUGUAUUUUAAUGUUUUGGCUUCUUCUUACUUUUUAAAGUGGAUAUCCCUAGUCAAAUGAACUGUUUUGUUUAAAAUUAUUGACAAAAUUGCUCUUUUAAAAUUUCCAUUUUGGAGCUGCCAUGGGGGAAAUCCCCCACAAAUAGUGAAAGUUGGCAGGUAUG
This 252-nucleotide long non-coding RNA is filed under the name Mytilus galloprovincialis (Mediterranean mussel). Lineage: Eukaryota; Metazoa; Mollusca; Bivalvia; Mytilida; Mytilidae. The record is from RNAcentral.